AUAUUAAGUUAAAGGAUCAUGAGAAAACAAAGAGGGAAAGAAAUUGCUGACUUAACUAAUUGAACUGGAAUACAAAAAGGGAGGUAUGAGGAGGUCAGGGAAACAAGGAUAUGAAUGUAAGCUAUGGAAAGAUUGACCCAUUUUUCUUUUUUCUCUUUUUAAGUGUCUUUUAUUCUUUUAUUCUGUAUUUUGUAUUUUUCUUGUAUUUUUACUUUUUGUUUUUCUGUAAUUCUUUUUUUCUCUGAAAUUUUAAUAAAUAUCAUU
Molecule: non-coding RNA, 264 nt
Organism: Podarcis lilfordi (Lilford's wall lizard)
Lineage: Eukaryota; Metazoa; Chordata; Lepidosauria; Squamata; Lacertidae
Source: the annotation of a GenBank genome assembly